GUCGAUGAACGAAUGACCUUAGUAUCUGUUAUUGUAUGUUCAGUUCAGUUCAGUUUUUAAGUUUUGUUAGUUGCAACGUUUGAGUUUUUUUUUAAGUUAUGAAAAUUUGAUCAAGUUCUUGAUCAAAUUUUCAUAAAAAUGGUUGGGGUGAUGUAACGUUUUGCGUUUUUUAGUUUAAUUUAAUGGAAUAAAAUAAAUAAAUAGAAUACAAUUUAUUUCAAUUUGUGUUGUAUUAAUGUUAACGAUAAAGAAAUAUUUUAUUUGUUCGUAAAAUUGGUCCAUGCCUGUUACUUAUGCUCAUGUAUGUCGAAGCGUUUGUAAAAGCUUACGUGAUUUGAACUUUUAUAGCAUAAUGCUAAUGGCGCGUAUCUACUUUCUGGCGAAUUACAGUCAUACUGCAAAUUUGUCGCCAUGCAUGAAAAUCGCCAUGCAGAAAAUGUUGGCGCGAUUUUUAAUAAUAGUCAUCUAAUUCAAUAGUGGGACUUUUGAAAAGCGGCACAGUUUCUUAGCGCAACGAUUGCUUCAAAUCGAUCAUUUCGCUACAAGAUCGGCUGGAAGACAGAAGUGCGCGAAUUUAAUUCGAAGUAUCUACCAAGUUUGAUUUUAGUUUGAGUUGAGUUUAAGUCAGUUUAAUUGAAGUGAAGUUUGAAGUCUAGUUGAGUUUUUGGUGAAAGUUAUUCUCCAAUUUCUAAGAGGACCGAGGUCCGCAAAUUCGCGAUUUCUGCAAUUGAUUUAUUUCUCGAAGGAAUUGAACUACGAAAAAAGGUAAUUUUUUGAUAAUUAAAUUAAAAGUGCUUAAGAUUAACAUGAAUUCCUGUUGGACGUGUAGCGCCUAGCGCUUUUUUCGUACGGCUGGUUUUUUCGUCGUCGUUCGGCGGUAUCCUUCGCCGAAUCGGGGUUUCGUAGGCGGAUUGGACCGCCAGUUUCGUCCGUGAGUCAUCGUUUCCGACCCGUGUGCCCAGCAAAGGCCCGCCUUUCAGAAGGCAGUCAAACGGAGGCGCGAGUGAAGUCGCUCAAUCAUCUUCGUAGCGAAGUAUUCCCGUCGGCCGCCAAUCACCGACGGUAAGGCCCUCUUACGUCAUACCCCGUGGGCCGGAAUCAACGAGAGCCGGUUCGUAGCAGCGUGUCGCCAAUUGCACGUCACGAACCCGGUCCGUAUCUAGGAAGAUAGAGGUUGCGGCAUUCCCCGCUCGGUCAUAGCUGGAAGCAUAGUACGCGAAGCCGGGUCGCUGGGCUCUGUUUGCGCCUUUAUUGACCGGAGAAAGACCAUCCCGGGAAUCGCUCGGCAUCCGCCGAAGCUCUCUCGUUCGUCCAACAAUCGGAAGCUUCCGUCCAGCCGCCACUCCCUCCGCACCGGUAGUUCGGCCAUACCGCACACGGGUCCCUUUGUCGACGCUGCGCGCCAAAUCGCAGCACGGACUCGUCGGCAGCCGCCAUUCUGCUGUCGCCAUUGCCGAACAUCGAGGUAGUCACCAUCGUCGAGUCGUCGAGCUACGCCAACCCGUCAUCGAGCA
Molecule: long non-coding RNA, 1514 nt
Organism: Aedes albopictus (Asian tiger mosquito)
Lineage: Eukaryota; Metazoa; Arthropoda; Insecta; Diptera; Culicidae
Exons: 2
Source: RefSeq, a predicted model, not a curated record